Long non-coding RNA from Anopheles arabiensis, 714 nucleotides. RefSeq lists it as uncharacterized. The record is from RefSeq and is a predicted model, not a curated record. NCBI's taxonomy places the organism in Eukaryota, Metazoa, Arthropoda, Insecta, Diptera, Culicidae. The transcript has 3 exons.
UGUAGUAUAAGUCAUGUAUGGUUGGAUUCCUGUAGAAGUAAGUGGUCUAGCAAUCUGUGGCCAGACUAUCCGAGUAGAUGACAUUAAUCAAUUAAAACUAUGAAGCUGGAUAUGCUUUAAAGGACUCUCUUACAGAAGCUAGUAGCUCCCACAUUCGAACCGCUCAUGGUAACCUGCAAUUAUGUUAUUUGUAGUUUUUCAUUUAGUUUCAAUGUAAAGUAAUAGUUGAAAAACAUACAAUUUGAUUUCAUCCAACUUACAGGUUUUACAGGUGAACAACAAUUAGCAACUCCCGAUCGAAUUGCACACAACAACCACCCACAAUCACAGCUGUAAAAAGUAACACGGAUAGGUAGCAAGGAAAUCAAGCUUGUACACAGAAAUCUACACAAAAACUGGGUUUUAUAAGCGCACGAAAAGCGACGCGGCUAUUUUUGAAUAAAAAGUAAACAAAAGAGUUUCGUUUUAAUUUAAUUUUGACAGCGGGUGUGGUGAUGGCUUGAGCGAUUUGGAACAAUCAUUCUCCGGACAGGAUUCGAUCCGAUCCGUGACGUCACUGAGCGCCGGUUCAUUUAAAGCUUCUUCUCUGAGUUCUGCUUAUACCAAGAAGCAAAGUUGAAGCAGAGAAGAAGCUGUGGCGGUUUCCAUACAAACUCUCUCUGAGAUUGUUGAAAGGGACGUGCUCGUCAGCCGACGAAAGAUCGCUCUCGCGGA